UCUCUUCCUUUUUUUCCUGGUUGUUGCCGGCGUUUGUGGUGGGAGGUAAGGGAGAUUUGCUUAGAGGUCCGACUGGGACUGGCGUUGGCGAAUCGAACCGGGCCUGGCCUCUGUCUCUUUAGGCCAGAAUGCCUGUUGCCAGGAGUUGGGUAUGUCGGAAGACUUAUGUCACCCCCAGGCGGCCUUUUGAAAAAUCACGCCUUGAUCAGGAGCUGAAACUUAUUGGUGAAUAUGGGCUGCGGAACAAGCGUGAGGUAUGGCGAGUGAAGUUCACUUUGGCCAAGAUCCGCAAAGCUGCCCGUGAGUUGCUCACCCUGGAUGAGAAAGAUCAGCGGCGCCUUUUUGAAGGCAAUGCCUUGCUGCGCCGUUUGGUCAGAAUCGGGGUGCUGGAUGAGGGCAAGAUGAAACUGGAUUACAUCCUGGGUCUGAAAAUUGAGGAUUUCCUGGAGCGGCGUCUCCAGACCCAGGUCUUCAAACUGGGCCUGGCCAAGUCCAUCCAUCACGCCCGAGUGCUCAUCCGCCAGAGACACAUCCGCCUAUGCAGCAAUGACUGUGGCCCUGGCUCAGGCCUUUAUAACCCACCAUCCUUUUGUGGAUCGAAACCUUGGAUAGCUCGAUAGAAUAGUGUCAAAACAACUCUCAAAGAUUUCGGCAAGGUUCACUGCGGCUUGGCCGUACACCUUGUGAAGGUCUGCCACGUGGGUGGCCGAGUGUAAGGAAGCAAGUGGUGAAUAUCCCUUCCUUCAUUGUUCGGCUAGACUCCCAAAAGCACAUUGACUUCUCCCUCCGUUCGCCUUACGGUGGUGGCCGACCAGGCCGGGUCAAGAGGAAGAACGCCAAGAAGGGCCAGGGCGGUGCUGGUGGCGGAGAUGAUGAGGAGGAAGAUUAAGGUGUGGAGGACGGCUUUCCUGCC
This is an RNA transcript of Candoia aspera, 913 nucleotides long. It is a transcript of the gene named ribosomal protein S9, with no coding region annotated. The transcript is spliced from 6 exons. The record is from RefSeq and is a predicted model, not a curated record. Lineage: Eukaryota; Metazoa; Chordata; Lepidosauria; Squamata; Candoiidae.